GAUGAACGCUAGCGGCAGGCCUAAUACAUGCAAGUCGAACGGUGUCUUCGGACAUAGUGGCGCACGGGUGCGUAACACGUAUGCAACCUACCUUACAUUGGGGGAUAGCCUUUCGAAAGGGAGAUUAAUACCGCAUAAGACAGUAGCUGGGCAUCCAGCAGCUGUUAAAGAUUUAUCGAUGUAAGCUGGGCAUGCGUCCAAUUAGCUAGUUGGUGAGGUAACGGCUCACCAAGGCUAUGAUUGGUAGGGGAACUGAGAGGUCAAUCCCCCACACUGGCACUGAGAUACGGGCCAGACUCCUACGGGAGGCAGCAGUAGGGAAUAUUGGGCAAUGGACGCAAGUCUGACCCAGCCAUGCCGCGUGCAGGAUGAAGGCGUUAUGCGUUGUAAACUGCUUUUGACAGGGAAGAAAUCACUUAUGCGUAAGUGUCUGACGGUACCUGUAGAAUAAGCACCGGCUAACUCCGUGCCAGCAG
Molecule: ribosomal RNA, 476 nt
Filed under: uncultured bacterium
Lineage: Bacteria
Description: bacterial SSU rRNA
Rfam family: Bacterial small subunit ribosomal RNA
Source: RNAcentral